UUUUUUUUGAAAGAAACCUACCUACCCUUGACAUGCCAGGAACUUUCCAGAGAUGGGUUGGUGCCCUAAAGGGACCCUGGACACAGGUGCGGCAUGGCUUUCCUCAGCUCGUGUCGUGAGAUGUGGGGUUAAGUCCCGCAACGAGCGCAACCCUUCCCUUUUGUUCCCAUCAUUCAGUUGGGCACUCUAAUGAGACUGCCGGUGACAAACCGGAGGAAGGUGGGGAUGACGUCAAGUCCUCAUGGCCCUUAUGGGUAGGGCUUCACACGUCAUACAAUGGCCGGUCCAGAGGGUUGCCAACCCGCGAGGGGGAGCUAAUCCCAGAAAGCCGGUCGUAGUCCGGAUCGCAGUCUGCAACUCGACUGCGUGAAGUCGGAAUCGCUAGUAAUCGUGACAGCACGACCCCCCC
RNAcentral lists this ribosomal RNA (409 nucleotides) under uncultured bacterium. RNAcentral's name for it is "bacterial SSU rRNA". It matches the Rfam family "Bacterial small subunit ribosomal RNA", at positions 950 to 1363 of the family's 1533-position model. The record is from RNAcentral.